CUCCCGCCGUUUCGCAGCCGAGCUAUGGAGCUUCGCCGAUUCCUCUAGGUGGCGGAGCCUAUCAAGAAAAACGCUGCUGUAGCUGCGGCUGCGGCUAGCAGUUUGACAAGCGGCACGACCACUGGGCACGACCCAACAUGUGCGAAGCCUUGUGAGACCGCUGCGCCAGGCUCUUUCUGUAAAAUGCACCUGAGCACCGUUGUUUGGUUCUUCUGCCAGCGUCUGCUUCGUCGCCGUUUCAUGGAAUCUCGACCAUUUCCUCAAAAUACACUGUACAGCCAAAGGACAUCACGCAUACUCAAGGGCGAAAUUCCAAGUAUCAGAAGACGAUUACACGGCUUCGAAGACAGCAGGUGAAGACCUCCGACACGAAGUGCUAAAUUGCAGCUGUUUAAUGACGGACACACUGGCUUACACAUUCGAAAUGAAGAUGUUGGUGCGUGCUCAAUUAUUCUUGCAGGCAGUUUAUUUCGGCAUGCUGCCAUUCACAUAAUUUCGCUGCCCUAAUUCACCCUCCUUCGCAGAAGUACAAGAAAAAACGUAACAUUUUUUUCCUUCUAAAACAGUCUCAUUUUGAGGAAAUUAAUUCGUGUCGUGUGUUUGCAGUUUUUUUUUCGUUAUCUUAAUAGUUGCAACACCUCUUCUAUGUGUUUUGCUUGUGCAAAGUUAUUGCCAUCACGCCAUUCAUUUGCGACUAUUCUCCAUUACACCGGCGUCACACGACCACUUUCGAUCGCGAACAAGUCCGAUCCGGAUAGAAAUUCGCGACUGAUAUUGGCACCAUCGCGCGGCUUGCGCAGAAUAACGAAUCGUGACUGAGAAAUUCAAAUCGGAUUGGGCUUGAUCGCGUUUAAAAGGGCGCCGUGUGACACCCGUAUUAUUGCAUUUCGCUGUUUCUUCCCGUUUUCAUGUAUCUGCCUCUUACAAUUUGCUGCAAUAAAUUGUCUGCUAUUUUCGUUUU
Long non-coding RNA from Dermacentor albipictus, 961 nucleotides. RefSeq lists it as uncharacterized. The record is from RefSeq and is a predicted model, not a curated record. Lineage: Eukaryota; Metazoa; Arthropoda; Arachnida; Ixodida; Ixodidae.